UUUCCGUAGGUGAACCUGCGGAAGGAUCAUUAGUGUAUAACCGAGGCUCGAGUGCUGCCGCUGACCCGUAUGAUCGUGCACGCACGAUUGCCACCACAAACAUCCACCUCACCCCUAUGUGCACCACCGGGUGUGUCCCCCUUUGGCUCGUUCGGAGGGGGGCUUACGUUUUCACACAAUCUUUGUAUGAAGUGUAGAAUGUAUUUUUUGUUUUCGCGAUCACGCAAUCAAUACAACUUUCAACAACGGAUCUCUUGGCUCUG
RNAcentral lists this unclassified non-coding RNA (263 nucleotides) under plant metagenome. RNAcentral describes it as "partial contains small subunit ribosomal RNA, internal transcribed spacer 1, and 5.8S ribosomal RNA". The record is from RNAcentral.